This 827-nucleotide ribosomal RNA is filed under the name Archigetes sp. 1 AW-2020. Its description in RNAcentral is "partial large subunit ribosomal RNA". The stretch from base 577 to 827 matches the Rfam family "Bacterial large subunit ribosomal RNA", at positions 2076 to 2624 of the family's 2925-position model. The record is from RNAcentral. Lineage: Eukaryota; Metazoa; Platyhelminthes; Cestoda; Caryophyllidea; Caryophyllaeidae.
CUAAUUUGAUUGAUUUUGUGGUUUCAGUUAGUCGAAAUAGCUAGAUCUCACAGACAUUUGGUACGUUUAAUAACGGGUUGUUAAGUAAAAUUCUGUAAGUAGUGAUAAAUUAGUCGUUAGCUAUUAUAUCUAAUUUAGAAGGGGUUUUAUUAAUUUAGGGUAGGGGCGAUGAGGUCCUUACCCUGUCUACAUUUAUAGUUGCGUCUAACUUGACUAGGGUUAGGGUUACCCUUGUCUCGUAAGUAUGUUAUUAUUUUUUCUUUAGUUAGUUAAAUUAGGGGCAUCUCUUCUGUGUUUAAAUUGGGUGUGUUCAUUUAUGAAUUAAUUAGUAAUUAUAUUAACUGUGUUUUUUCUCGUGUUCAGUCCGACUGUUUAUUAAAAACAUUUCCACUCGUUACUGAUGAGUGGUAAGACCUGCCCAGUGGUUUUAACGGCCGCAGUAUAUUGACUGUGCGAAGGUAGCAUAAUUAAUUGCCCCAUAAUUGGGGGCUUGUUUGAAUGGUUUUACGUGAUUGGUGCUUAGAUCAUAGUUGUUUUUGAAUUUAAUUAGACGAGUACAGAAUCUGUCGAAUUUAAUUAGACGGAAAGACCCCAGGAUCUUUUCUUUUUGUCUGGGGCAGAUUAUGUUGGUUUAACAUGUUUGAGACCCUCAGUUUAUAGGUUUAAGUUACCCUGGGGAUAACAGGGUUAUAGUUCAUUAGAGAUCUUAUCGAAUGGAUUGAUUGCUACCUCGAUGUUGACUUGGAUUGGCUUAAUGGCGCAGUUGCUUUUAGGCUUGGUCUGUUCGACCAAGUAUAUCCUCAUGAGUUGAGUUAAGACCGGCGUAA